Molecule: ribosomal RNA, 348 nt
Filed under: uncultured eukaryote
Lineage: Eukaryota
Description: SSU rRNA
Rfam family: Eukaryotic small subunit ribosomal RNA
Source: RNAcentral
AUAGCGUAUAUUAAAGUUGUUGCAGUUAAAAAGCUCGUAGUUGAACUUCAGCCUCUUGGCCGGGCGGUCUGCCUCACGGUAUGUACUGUCUGGCUGGGGCUUACCUUCUGGUGAGCUUGCAUGCCGUUUAUUCGGUGUGUGAGGGAACCAGGACUUUUACCUUGAGAAAAUUUGAGUGUUCAAAGCAGGCAAAUGCCCGAAUACAUUAGCAUGGCAUAAUGGAAUAGGACGUGCGGUUCUAUUUUGUUGGUUUCUAGAGUCGCCGUAAUGAUUAAUAGGGACAGUUGGGGGCAUUAGUAUUGAGUUGCUAGAGGUGAAAUUCUUGGAUUUACUCAAGACUAACUACUG